AUGAGACAAGUACAAUUCCAGGAGUGUGUUGUGAAUUUCCACUUGAGCAGAUGAAUCCUUCACUUUGCUGGUAUAUUUUUCAAGGAACUCCAGAAGUGCAUGAGGAUAAUGCACAAAAAUGUUGAGAAAAUCAAUAGGAGAAGGCAACAUUGAAAUAAAUGCACCACUAGAUGCUCCCUUCUUAGGCAGUUCGGAUUCCUCUGUGCAAAGCCUCAUGAGUAUCUCA
This 226-nucleotide unclassified non-coding RNA is filed under the name Hevea brasiliensis (rubber tree). The record is from RNAcentral. Lineage: Eukaryota; Viridiplantae; Streptophyta; Magnoliopsida; Malpighiales; Euphorbiaceae.